RNAcentral lists this ribosomal RNA (422 nucleotides) under uncultured bacterium. RNAcentral describes it as "bacterial SSU rRNA". It matches the Rfam family "Bacterial small subunit ribosomal RNA", at positions 355 to 774 of the family's 1533-position model. The record is from RNAcentral.
UGAGGAAUAUUGGUCAAUGGGUGCAAGCCUGAACCAGCCAUCCCGCGUGAAGGACGACUGCCCUAUGGGUUGUAAACUUCUUUUGUAUAGGGAUAAACCUACCCUCGUGAGGGUAGCUGAAGGUACUAUACGAAUAAGCACCGGCUAACUCCGUGCCAGCAGCCGCGGUAAUACGGAGGGUGCAAGCGUUAUCCGGAUUUAUUGGGUUUAAAGGGUCCGUAGGCGGACUUAUAAGUCAGUGGUGAAAGCCUGUCGCUUAACGAUAGAACUGCCAUUGAUACUGUAAGUCUUGAGUAUAUUUGAGNUAGCUGGAAUAAGUAGUGUAGCGGUGAAAUGCAUAGAUAUUACUUAGAACACCAAUUGCGAAGGCAGGUUACCAAGAUAUAACUGACGCUGAGGGACGAAAGCGUGGGGAGCGAACA